CCACAGCUAUGGCCAUCUCCUUGUAUGUGAAGAUCUGCACAGACUGCAGCCAACGAGUCCUUAGAUGGCAUGUCUCCAGGCAUAGAAACAUGAGGUCCUGGGAUAAUGUCUUUAUGGGUCUCUCUGGAGAAGCUCAAAGGGCACCUGUUUCAAAGGGCAACUUCCUUCUUGGAUGAAGCAUCUUGUAGAGAAGACAAUCAAUGGCCAAGACCUUUCAGUGGGACAAGAUGUGGAGAUGGAAGACGGUGACAUUGAUGAUCCUGCCCCUGUACAGACCUAGGCUAAUGUGUAUGUUUGUUUUAGUUUUUAACAAAAAAGUUUAAAAAACUUUAAAAGGAGAAAAAAAGCUUGA
RNAcentral lists this long non-coding RNA (352 nucleotides) under Homo sapiens (human). RNAcentral's name for it is "HSALNT0334685". Lineage: Eukaryota; Metazoa; Chordata; Mammalia; Primates; Hominidae. The record is from RNAcentral.